AUAUCAAUAAGCGGAGGAAAAGAAACUAACAAGGAUUCCCCUAGUAACUGCGAGUGAAGCGGGAAGAGCUCAAAUUUGUAAUCUGGCGGUCUCAGGCCGUCCGAGUUGUAGUCUGGAGAAGCGUUUUCCGCGUCGGACCGUGUACAAGUCCCUUGGAACAGGGCGUCAUAGAGGGUGAGAAUCCCGUCUUCGACACGGACUACCGAUGCUUUGUGAUGCGCUCUCGAAGAGUCGAGUUGUUUGGGAAUGCAGCUCAAAACGGGUGGUAAAUUCCAUCUAAAGCUAAAUAUUGGCGAAAGACCGAUAGCGAACAAGUACCGUGAGGGAAAGAUGAAAAGCACUUUGGAAAGAGAGUUAAACAGUACGUGAAAUUGUUGAAAGGGAAACGAUUGAAGUCAGUCGCGUCUUCCGGGACUCAGCUUGGCUUUGCCUGGCGCAUUUCCCGGGGUGACGGGCCAGCAUCAAUUUCGACCGGCGGAGAAAGGUGGGGGGAACGUGGCACCUUCGGGUGUGUUAUAGCCCUCUGUCGUAUGCGUCGGUUGGGAUUGAGGAUCGCAGCACGCCUUUUUGGCCGGGGUUCGCCCACGUAACGUGCUUAGGAUGCUGGCGUAAUGGCUUUAAACGA
Molecule: ribosomal RNA, 625 nt
Filed under: uncultured fungus
Lineage: Eukaryota; Fungi
Description: eukaryotic LSU rRNA
Rfam family: Eukaryotic large subunit ribosomal RNA
Source: RNAcentral